UACGUAGGGGGCAAGCGUUGUCCGGAAUCAUUGGGCGUAAAGAGCGUGUAGGCGGUUCGGUAAGUCGGCUGUGAAAGUCCAGGGCUCAACCCUGGGAUGCCGGUCGAUACUGCCGGACUAGAGUUCGGAAGAGGCGAGUGGAAUUCCCGGUGUAGCGGUGAAAUGCGCAGAUAUCGGGGAGGAACACCUAUGGCGGAAGGCGGUUCUCUGGGCAUUACCUGA
RNAcentral lists this ribosomal RNA (222 nucleotides) under uncultured bacterium. RNAcentral describes it as "partial 16S ribosomal RNA". It matches the Rfam family "Bacterial small subunit ribosomal RNA", at positions 524 to 743 of the family's 1533-position model. The record is from RNAcentral.